Molecule: non-coding RNA, 568 nt
Organism: Malus domestica (apple)
Lineage: Eukaryota; Viridiplantae; Streptophyta; Magnoliopsida; Rosales; Rosaceae
Source: RefSeq, a predicted model, not a curated record
CCUUCCCUCUUUCUUUCCUGUGAACUCCAAACCUGAACCCUCGCUCUUUCUUUCCCUCUUUAUUUCCGAGUUGUGAUAAAUCUGGAACCCUCCCUCCUUGAACCCUCCUUCUUUCCCCUUCUUUCGAACCCAAUCUGGAACCCUCAAUUCCCUGUACACCCCAAAUCUCCCUCUCUUUCUUUCCCUCUUUCUUUCCACGCAAACCCCAAUCUGGAACCCUCCUUGAACCCCUCUGUCUUUCCCUGUAGACCCCAAAUCCUGUCGAAUCAAAUCCCAAAUUCAAGGGCCAUACAAGUUGUCGCACAAGCUACCGCUAAAUGCUCUGAUUAUAUCUUUCAAGCUCUCAAACCAAGCGAGUCAACCACUGCCAGCACUCUUGUUGCUUAGGUUGGUUUUGCAACUUGCUACCGCUCUGUGAUUAGCUUGGGUUGAUGAGGUAUGCUUCGGAAAGCUAAAAAGGAAGAUGGUGGUAUUGCCGAUUUGGGGUUUUAGUGACUAAUCAGACUUGUCCAAGUUGGGGUUUUGCCGAAAUUCAAUGAUUUUGAUAUACUUGUGGCCAACCCUAGAA